Molecule: long non-coding RNA, 424 nt
Organism: Centrocercus urophasianus (Greater sage-grouse)
Lineage: Eukaryota; Metazoa; Chordata; Aves; Galliformes; Phasianidae
Exons: 4
Source: RefSeq, a predicted model, not a curated record
CAAACACACCGAGCUGCAGGGCAAUGGAAGGCUGGCACCAAGCAUCCCACCACCUCUCAUGACAACCGAUGGUCAGGCUCAGAGCUGCUGCAAACGUCACCUCCUGCUUCAUACAGACACAAAGGCAAAAGAGUCCCAGUCGUGAAGCAAUCUGUGCUGUGCUAGGGACGAGGGGGAUGAUUUGUUCAGAGCAGCCAGGUCCUUGUGAUUAGAAAUGAGCUCGAUUUGGCAGGAAGCACUGAGGAAGGCUGGCAGAGAGGCAGCGUGGUCCUUGCAUGCAAGAUUUCUCCAGAAGUAAAGAAGCACUGGUGGAGACAGUGCAACCCCUGGCAAGAAGCAGCAACGCUGUGCAACAAAGGAAGGAGCCGCUUCCAGGUUAUGAAAACAUGCUGUUGAACUGAAUUUUGCAGCUGGGUUUUCAAAU